CGGGUGAGUAACACGUGGGUAACCUGCCCCGAUGAUUGGACAACCCGAGGAAACUCGGGCUAAUACCAAAUGUGCUCUGGGUCCUCAAGGACCUCGAGGAAAGGAAGCUUCGGCCUCCGCAUCGGGAUGGGCCCGCGGCCCAUUAGCUUGUUGGUGGGGUAAUGGCCUACCAAGGCUUCGAUGGGUAGCUGGUCUGAGAGGACGAUCAGCCACACUGGGACUGAGACACGGCCCAG
Molecule: ribosomal RNA, 236 nt
Filed under: uncultured bacterium
Lineage: Bacteria
Description: partial 16S ribosomal RNA
Rfam family: Bacterial small subunit ribosomal RNA
Source: RNAcentral